RNAcentral lists this unclassified non-coding RNA (246 nucleotides) under uncultured Sordariales. RNAcentral describes it as "sequence contains 5.8S rRNA gene, ITS2, 28S rRNA gene". The stretch from base 1 to 52 matches the Rfam family "5.8S ribosomal RNA", at positions 103 to 154 of the family's 154-position model. The record is from RNAcentral. Lineage: Eukaryota; Fungi; Ascomycota; Sordariomycetes; Sordariales.
AACGCACAUUGCGCCCGCCAGUAUUCUGGCGGGCAUGCCUGUUCGAGCGUCAUUUCAACCAUCAAGCCCCAGGCUUGUGUUGGAGCCCUGCGGCUGCCGCAGCCUCCCAAAACCAGUGGCGGGCUCGCUAUCACACCGAGUGCAGUAGUUUACUCUUCGCUCAGGUCGUGUGGCGGGUGCUGGCCGUGAAACCCCCUACUUCUCAAGGUUGACCUCGGAUCAGGUAGGAAUACCCGCUGAACUUAA